UUGCUCCGCAACGCACUUUCUGCUUUGUUUUAUUGACCGGCCCUGGGCUGGAGCCUGGGAACUGCAGCGCAGAAUCAGAGGCUGAUUUGAUCAGUAGAUUUCAGAGUCUGCUAUCGAUCAUUUGUAUUCACUCCAAGAGGGGUUCAGAAGAAAUUAAUGAGAAGCUGGAGUUACUGUUGGUGUGCAAACUUUUGAAAAAAAAGCAAUAAAAACAGAUGCACAGCAAAUGGAUACAUGAUACUUGAAAGACCCCAGGACCUUAAUGAAGAAACACCAUGCUGACUAUUCAGCUCCCCCUUUGCAGUCCCCGUUAUUGGUAAUGGGCAUAGGUAAAGGGUCUGUGAGGAUCUGUACAUGUGUACUGUUUCUUAAAAUAUUUGGUGGAAGCCCGGUAGGGUGGCCCUAGGGGAAGGAUGUGGGCAGAAGCUCUCCACCAUGGCAGAAUAUUUUUAAGGAUAACUGUUUUCUGUUAUUCUAAUAAAGUUCCUUCUUUGAUGCUAGAAGAACUCUUUUUCU
Long non-coding RNA from Caretta caretta (loggerhead turtle), 516 nucleotides. RefSeq lists it as uncharacterized. The record is from RefSeq and is a predicted model, not a curated record. Lineage: Eukaryota; Metazoa; Chordata; Testudines; Cheloniidae.